Homo sapiens (human) is the source of this 1641-nucleotide long non-coding RNA. The record is from Ensembl. NCBI's taxonomy places the organism in Eukaryota, Metazoa, Chordata, Mammalia, Primates, Hominidae.
AUGUGUAAAGGAUCAUGCUAUAGGCUGAUCACCGUGGAUACGUUUUCUGAUCUAAUCCUCGCAGCCUGCAAAGUGUUAUGAUUCUCAUUUUAUUGGCCAAACUUAUUUUAUUGACUUACCCAAGAUCACACCGUUAGUAGGGGCACGAACAGGACUUUAACCUCAUCUCCUCCGACUAUGGAACUCAAGUGCUGAAUUACAGUGCUUUCCCCGGGGGAAUGCUUUUGCUGCGGCUAUUCCCUGAACUCUGGAGAGGCAUCCCCUAUUGCCCACGCUCUUACAGAGGCUAAUGCUUACAAAUCCAAUAGUGUCCUCUAAGUCAGAGCUUUGCUGGGUGCAUCAAGGUACCCCAGCCUGAGCCUAGUACAGGGAAAGGGCAAUGGGCUGACCCUAGCCGCACUGGGCUCUGUGCCAGGCAUGGACAUGGACAGCUGUGUGACUCUGGGCAAUUGCUUGACCUCUCUGAACUUCAGCAUCCUCUCCUCAGGAUGACAGUAACUCUGCUGUGGCUCAGAGGGGGAUUGUGAUAAUCAAGACAGAAUGAUGUUUGUGGACAGUGGACAUAUCCCCGACCAUUUACUGAGCCCAGCCAUAUGCCAGGCCAGGAGCUAAGCUGGGAAGCUGUUAACACAAGGAUGUUGGCAGAGCCAGUGCUGAGAAGGUUUUCUGGGUAAGUGGCCGGGCUUGGCCCCCUUAGCCUUCCUGCCCCAUCUUUCUUCUCUCCCUGAACAUCAGGGCAUCCGGGCAAGGGACCAGCUGCAUCGGCACCUGGAGGGGGCCAUUUCUGAGAAGCUUCACGAGGACAAGGCUGCAGAGCCGGGUGAUGCCCUCGACCUAAUCAUUCACAGUGCAAGGGAGCUGGGCCAUGAGCCCUCCAUGCAGGAGCUGAAGGCACUAAAGCAAUCUUCAACCGAACUCCUCUUUGGAGGACACGAAACCACGGCCAGUGCAGCCACAUCUCUGAUCACUUACCUGGGGCUCUACCCACAUGUUCUCCAGAAAGUGCGAGAAGAGCUGAAGAGUAAGGGUUUACUUUGCAAGAGCAAUCAAGACAACAAGUUGGACAUGGAAAUUUUGGAACAACUUAAAUACAUCGGGUGUGUUAUUAAGGAGACCCUUCGACUGAAUCCCCCAGUUCCAGGAGGGUUUCGGGUUGCUCUGAAGACUUUUGAAUUAAAUGGAUACCAGAUUCCCAAGGGCUGGAAUGUUAUCUACAGUAUCUGUGAUACUCAUGAUGUGGCAGAGAUCUUCACCAACAAGGAAGAAUUUAAUCCUGACCGAUUCAUGCUGCCUCACCCAGAGGAUGCAUCCAGGUUCAGCUUCAUUCCAUUUGGAGGAGGCCUUAGGAGCUGUGUAGGCAAAGAAUUUGCAAAAAUUCUUCUCAAAAUAUUUACAGUGGAGCUGGCCAGGCAUUGUGACUGGCAGCUUCUAAAUGGACCUCCUACAAUGAAAACCAGUCCCACCGUGUAUCCUGUGGACAAUCUCCCUGCAAGAUUCACCCAUUUCCAUGGGGAAAUCUGAUGAGCUUGAAUGUUCAAACCUGAGACUUAUUGGAAGUGUACAUAUGAGUUUUUAAGGAGUGUUGUGUUGACUUUAUAUUUAAUUUCUAAAUGUAUAUUAUAAUAUUUAUGUGUUUUGACU